GCGCGGUGCGGCAGCCUACCAUGCAAGUCGAACGAAGUAGCAAUACUUAGUGGCAGACGGGUGAGUAACAUGUGGGUAUCUGCCCUUUGGCCUGGAAUAACACGAGGAAACUUGUGCUAAUACCGGAUAAGUCUUUACGGAGAAAGCUUUAUGCACCAUUGGAUGAGCCCGCACUUGAUUAGUUUGUUGGUAGGGUAAUGGCCUACCAAGACUGUGAUCAAUAGCUGAUUUGAGAGGAUGAUCAGCCACAUUGGGACUGAGACACGGCCCAAACUCCUACGGGAGGCAGCAGUGGGGAAUCUUGCACAAUGGAGGAAACUCUGAUGCAGCGAUGCCGCGUGAGUGAAGAAGGCCCUUGGGUUGUAAAGCUCUUUCGUCGGGGAAGAAAAUGACUGUACCCGAAUAAGAAGGUCCGGCUAACUUCGUGCCAGCAGCCGCGGUAAUACGAAGGGACCUAGCGUAGUUCGGAAUUACUGGGCUUAAAGAGUUCGUAGGUGGUUGAAAAAGUUGGUGGUGAAAUCCCAGAGCUUAACUCUGGAACUGCCAUCAAAACUUUUCAGCUAGAGUUUGAUAGAGGAAAGCAGAAUUUCUAGUGUAGAGGUGAAAUUCGUAGAUAUUAGAAAGAAUACCAAUUGCGAAGGCAGCUUUCUGGAUCAUUACUGACACUGAGGAACGAAAGCAUGGGUAGCGAAGAGGAUUAGAUACCCUCGUAGUCCAUGCCGUAAACGAUGUGUGUUAGACGUUGGAAAUUUAUUUUCAGUGUCGCAGCGAAAGCGAUAAACACACCACCUGGGGAGUACGACCGCAAGGUUAAAACUCAAAUGAAUUGACGGGGACCCGCACAAGUAGUGGAGCAUGUGGUUUAAUUCGAAGAUACGCGCAGAACCUUACCAACACUUGACAUGUUCGUCGCGACUUUAAGAGAUUAAAGUUUUCGGUUCGGCCGGACGAAACACAGGUGCUGCAUGGCUGUCGUCAGCUCGUGUCGUGAGAUGUUGGGUUAAGUCCCGCAACGAGCGCAACCCUCACUUUUAGUUGCCAUCAUUUAGUUGGGCACUCUGAAAGAACUGCCAGUGAUAAGCUGGAGGAAGGUGGGGAUGACGUCAAGUCCUCAUGGCCCUUACGUGUUGGGCUACACACGUGCUACAAUGGUAUUUACAACAGGAAGCAAGACGGCGACGUUAAGCAAAUCCUUAAAAGAUACCUCAGUUCGGAUUGCACUCUGCGACUCGAGUGCAUGAAGCUGGAAUUACUAGUAAUCGUGGAUCAGCGUGCCACGGUGAAUGCGUUCCCGGGUCUUGUACACACCGCCCGUCACACCAUGGGAGUUGGUUCUACCUUAAGGCAAGGUUUAAUACCCCUGACCCACGGUAAUCAGGAGG
This 1382-nucleotide ribosomal RNA is filed under the name uncultured bacterium. RNAcentral's name for it is "bacterial SSU rRNA". It matches the Rfam family "Bacterial small subunit ribosomal RNA". The record is from RNAcentral.